UUUCCACCGUCAUCCAGAGCAGGACAAACACGCCAGGUGGUGUCAGGAGCCCAGGUCUCCAGCUGGAGGGAAUGUCAACCCUGCAGUGGGAGCCCAUCAUGCAUCCUAGGCACAGAUGCUAACGUAGGCACCGCAGACCAUAAAGGAAAACAGCAAGAGGUCCCCAGCAAACAUCUACAGAUGGCCCUGGACAUCAGCCACAUUCAGAGAAACGUGUCAUGUUCUGGGAGGGCUAAGGCAUCGAGAAUCCCAGUGAAUAUAUUGCCACCAUCUUGGAGCUCAGUGCCCUCAUAGUGUAACAGCACCAGCAGAUCUGCCUGUGCACAGACUUCCUGUACUACCUCACUCCUGAGGGGAGAUGCUUCUGCAGGGCCUGCGACCUGGUGCACAACUUUAGACACCAUCAUCCUGGAGCGGCACUGCACCCUCACUAGCCAGGGUGUUGAUGACUUCCUCAAUGCCAAGGCCACGUUCAAGAUUUUCGACUUCAGUGAUGCGUUUGUGCUGAGCAAGGUGGGCUUCUCCGGGAUCUUAAUUCAGGAGGUAGAAUGCAGCUUGAGAUCUAGUGUCUGAUCAAAGAACUUGAACUUGACCUGGAGGGCUCUGGGGAGCCAUGGAAGGUGCUGGAUAAAGGAAGGGACAGUCAUAUAUAUUUUAGAGAUGACUGUGGAAGGCUGCCUGGAAGGAGUGAACAAGAGCCAGGAGACCAGGGAGGGAGUUUGUGGGGCAGGUCUGGAGAUGGCAAGGGAGGGAUCCUGC
Molecule: long non-coding RNA, 759 nt
Filed under: Homo sapiens (human)
Lineage: Eukaryota; Metazoa; Chordata; Mammalia; Primates; Hominidae
Description: family with sequence similarity 95 member B1
Source: RNAcentral